RNAcentral lists this ribosomal RNA (492 nucleotides) under uncultured bacterium. RNAcentral's name for it is "partial 16S ribosomal RNA". It matches the Rfam family "Bacterial small subunit ribosomal RNA", at positions 29 to 507 of the family's 1533-position model. The record is from RNAcentral.
AGUGAACGCUGGCGGUAGGCCUAACACAUGUAAGUCGAACGGCAGCACAGUAAGAGCUUGAUCUUAAGGGUGGAGAGUGGAGGAAGGGUGAGGAAUAUAUAGGAAUUUACUUUUUUGUGGGGGAUAAUGUAGGGAAACUUACGCUAAUGCCGCAUACGACCUACGGGUGAAAGCAGGGGAUCUUCGGACCUUGCGCGAUUGAAUGAGCCGAUGUCGGAUUAGCUAGUUGGCGGGGUAAAGGCCCACCAAGGCGACGAUCCGUAGCUGGUCUGAGAGGAUGAUCAGCCACACUGGAACUGAGACACGGUCCAGACUCCUACGGGAGGCAGCAGUGGGGAAUAUUGGACAAUGGGCGCAAGCCUGAUCCAGCCAUACCGCGUGGGUGAAGAAGGCCUUCGGGUUGUAAAGCCCUUUUAUUAAGAAAGAAAAGCAGCAGGUUAAUACCCCGCUGUUCUGACGGUACCCAAAGAAUAAGCACCGGCUAACUUCGUG